UAAAACUAAAAUAGUAUGUAAUUAUUUAUUGAAACUUAAAUAUUUUGGCGGUAUUUUAGUUUAUUUAGAGGAAUCUGUUUAUUAAUUGAUAAUCCACGAAUAAAUUUACUUAAUUUAUUAUUUUGUAUAUCAUUGUUAAAAAAAUAUUUUUUAAUGAUAAUAAUAUUUUAAAAUUAUAAAAAAAAAUUAAAUCAAAUCAAGAUGCAGAUUAUAAUUAAGAAUAUAAUGGAUUACAAUAAAUUUAUUUAAAUGAAUUUUAAUUUGUAACAAUUAAAUGAAGGUGGAUUUAAAGGUAAUUUUAUUUAUUUUAU
This 311-nucleotide ribosomal RNA is filed under the name Yezognophos vittaria. RNAcentral's name for it is "partial 12S ribosomal RNA". The record is from RNAcentral. Lineage: Eukaryota; Metazoa; Arthropoda; Insecta; Lepidoptera; Geometridae.